CACGUAGGGCGCAAGCGUUGUCCGGAAUUAUUGGGCGUAAAGAGCUCGUAGGCGGUCUGUUGCGUCCGCUGUGAAAACUCGGGGCUUAACCCCGAGCCUGCAGUGGAUACGGGCAGACUAGAGGUAGGUAGGGGAGAAUGGAAUUCCCGGUGUAGCGGUGAAAUGCGCAGAUAUCUGGAGGAACACCGGUGGCGAAGGCGGCAUCCUGGACCAACACUGACGCUGAGUGAGCGAAAGCCAGGGGAGCAAACGGG
Molecule: ribosomal RNA, 254 nt
Filed under: uncultured bacterium
Lineage: Bacteria
Description: partial 16S ribosomal RNA
Rfam family: Bacterial small subunit ribosomal RNA
Source: RNAcentral